AUUGGAGUAGAAAUUAGCGCGUUAAGUGUCGAUGGAACGGAAUGUGAACAUCGGACGAAAAACUUCAACGUUUGCGGUUCUAAUUUCGCAUUCGCCACU
The sequence is a regulatory RNA element, 99 nucleotides long. It matches the Rfam family "THF (Tetrahydrofolate) riboswitch aptamer". From Rfam's summary of the family: THF riboswitch presents a pseudoknot that joins P1-P2 and the loop of P3 and two THF binding. The record is from Rfam.